This 594-nucleotide ribosomal RNA is filed under the name uncultured Bacteroidota bacterium. Its description in RNAcentral is "bacterial SSU rRNA". It matches the Rfam family "Bacterial small subunit ribosomal RNA", at positions 122 to 715 of the family's 1533-position model. The record is from RNAcentral. Lineage: Bacteria; Pseudomonadati; Bacteroidota.
CAACCCGCCGAUGACUCGGGGAUAGCCUUUCGAAAGAAAGAUUAAUACCCGAUGGCAUAGUUCUUCCGCAUGGUAGAACUAUUAAAGAAUUCCGGUCAUCGAUGGGGAUGCGUUCCAUUAGGUUGUUGGCGGGGUAACGGCCCACCAAGCCUUCGAUGGAUAGGGGUUCUGAGAGGAAGGUCCCCCACAUUGGAACUGAGACACGGUCCAAACUCCUACGGGAGGCAGCAGUGAGGAAUAUUGGUCAAUGGACGAGAGUCUGAACCAGCCAAGUAGCGUGAAGGAUGACUGCCCUAUGGGUUGUAAACUUCUUUUAUACGGGAAUAAAGUGAGGCACGUGUGCCUUUUUGUAUGUACCGUAUGAAUAAGGAUCGGCUAACUCCGUGCCAGCAGCCGCGGUAAUACGGAGGAUCCGAGCGUUAUCCGGAUUUAUUGGGUUUAAAGGGAGCGUAGGCGGACGCUUAAGUCAGUUGUGAAAGUUUGCGGCUCAACCGUAAAAUUGCAGUUGAUACUGGGUGUCUUGAGUACAGUAGAGGCAGGCGGAAUUCGUGGAGUAGCGGUGAAAUGCUUAGAUAUCACGAAGAACUCCGAUUG